Molecule: ribosomal RNA, 1133 nt
Filed under: uncultured Bacillus sp.
Lineage: Bacteria; Bacillati; Bacillota; Bacilli; Caryophanales; Bacillaceae
Description: bacterial SSU rRNA
Rfam family: Bacterial small subunit ribosomal RNA
Source: RNAcentral
CAUUAGCUAGUUGGUGAGGUAACGGCUCACCAAGGCGACGAUGCGUAGCCGACCUGAGAGGGUGAUCGGCCACACUGGGACUGAGACACGGCCCAGACUCCUACGGGAGGCAGCAGUAGGGAAUCUUCCGCAAUGGACGAAAGUCUGACGGAGCAACGCCGCGUGAGUGAUGAAGGUUUUCGGAUCGUAAAGCUCUGUUGUUAGGGAAGAACAAGUGCAAGAGUAACUGCUUGCACCUUGACGGUACCUAACCAGAAAGCCACGGCUAACUACGUGCCAGCAGCCGCGGUAAUACGUAGGUGGCAAGCGUUGUCCGGAAUUAUUGGGCGUAAAGGGCUCGCAGGCGGUUUCUUAAGUCUGAUGUGAAAGCCCCCGGCUCAACCGGGGAGGGUCAUUGGAAACUGGGAAACUUGAGUGCAGAAGAGGAGAGUGGAAUUCCACGUGUAGCGGUGAAAUGCGUAGAGAUGUGGAGGAACACCAGUGGCGAAGGCGACUCUCUGGUCUGUAACUGACGCUGAGGAGCGAAAGCGUGGGGAGCGAACAGGAUUAGAUACCCUGGUAGUCCACGCCGUAAACGAUGAGUGCUAAGUGUUAGGGGGUUUCCGCCCCUUAGUGCUGCAGCUAACGCAUUAAGCACUCCGCCUGGGGAGUACGGUCGCAAGACUGAAACUCAAAGGAAUUGACGGGGGCCCGCACAAGCGGUGGAGCAUGUGGUUUAAUUCGAAGCAACGCGAAGAACCUUACCAGGUCUUGACAUCCUCUGACAACCCUAGAGAUAGGGCUUUCCCUUCGGGGACAGAGUGACAGGUGGUGCAUGGUUGUCGUCAGCUCGUGUCGUGAGAUGUUGGGUUAAGUCCCGCAACGAGCGCAACCCUUGAUCUUAGUUGCCAGCAUUCAGUUGGGCACUCUAAGGUGACUGCCGGUGACAAACCGGAGGAAGGUGGGGAUGACGUCAAAUCAUCAUGCCCCUUAUGACCUGGGCUACACACGUGCUACAAUGGACAGAACAAAGGGCUGCGAGACCGCAAGGUUUAGCCAAUCCCACAAAUCUGUUCUCAGUUCGGAUCGCAGUCUGCAACUCGACUGCGUGAAGCUGGAAUCGCUAGUAAUCGCGGAUCAGCAUGCCGCGGUGA